This is a long non-coding RNA of Oncorhynchus keta (chum salmon), 863 nucleotides long. RefSeq lists it as uncharacterized. The record is from RefSeq and is a predicted model, not a curated record. The transcript is spliced from 4 exons. NCBI's taxonomy places the organism in Eukaryota, Metazoa, Chordata, Actinopteri, Salmoniformes, Salmonidae.
UGAUCAGCAGCACUUCCUUAAUAAGAUGCACCUCCCCAGGAUCAUGAAGAGAACCCAGUCACCCCACAGAGAGACCGUUUCCCUGUCCUCUCAUACUACUCAGAGCCAGCCUACCUGCAGCACCGUAAGGAUGUGACUAGAGAUCUGGCCCCGCUGCCUGGUGCAACGAGAAGAGGAGCCCUGGAUGAGGAAGACCAGGAAGAGACGCUGAGCCUACGGAGCAUGCCCAGUAUGAGAAGCACCCUGAGUCACGCCUCAAAGGUGAAAAGGUCACGGGGCUUCCCGAAGAGACACACCGUCCCCGAGCUCAGACUGCCCCCUGUUACUAAGAUUCAUCCUGACCCCAGAGCCAGUCUGGAAUUGAGGGGUACUGGCUACCUGAGAUGUUCCAGACUUCCACCCAUCAUCAAAUCUACCAGAACCCACGAGCCUCUGCAUCAGGAAAGACCCCCAGGUCCAGCUGGGUACAGGUUAGAUACCUUUCUCAAUGUAGGUUCUAACUAAUUACUCACGGCCCAAUGUGAGGAAGAGGAGCUACUCACACAGUAACUCUACAGGGGCGUCAGGACACACCCGUGGGGGACCCCGCCACAGUCCUGCUAAUAAUGGAGUCUCACGCUUCUCCCCACCCAGGUAUAGUCUACAUACAGCAAUCAUCCCUCCCCAGGUAUAGUCUAUAUACAGCAAUCAUCCCUCCCCAGGUAUAGUCUACAUACAGUAAUCAUCCCUCCCCAGGUAUAGUCUAUAUACAGCAAUCAUCCCUCCCCAGGUAUAGUCUACAUACAGUAAUCAUCCCUCCCCAGGUAUAGUCUACAUACAGUAAUCAUCCCUCCCCAGGUAUAGUCUACAUACAGUAAUCAUCC